UUGACGGAUGAUUUCUUCGGAAUGAAACCAGAUAUGACUUAGUGGCGGACGGGUGAGUAACACGUGAGCAACCUGCCUUUCAGAGGGGGAUAACGGCUGGAAACGGUCGCUAAUACCGCAUAAGACCACGGUACCGCAUGGUACAGUGGUAAAAACUCCGGUGGUAUGAGAUGGACCCGCGUCUGAUUAGGUAGUUGGUGGGGUAACGGCCUACCAAGCCGACGAUCAGUAGCCGACCUGAGAGGGUGACCGGCCACAUUGGGACUGAGACACGGCCCAGACUCC
RNAcentral lists this ribosomal RNA (285 nucleotides) under uncultured Lachnospiraceae bacterium. RNAcentral's name for it is "partial 16S ribosomal RNA". The stretch from base 47 to 285 matches the Rfam family "Bacterial small subunit ribosomal RNA", at positions 100 to 339 of the family's 1533-position model. Lineage: Bacteria; Bacillati; Bacillota; Clostridia; Lachnospirales; Lachnospiraceae. The record is from RNAcentral.